RNAcentral lists this transfer RNA (74 nucleotides) under Clostridiales bacterium. Its description in RNAcentral is "tRNA-Pro". It matches the Rfam family "tRNA". From Rfam's summary of the family: Transfer RNA (tRNA) molecules are approximately 80 nucleotides in length. Their secondary structure includes four short double-helical elements and three loops (D, anti-codon, and T loops). Further hydrogen bonds mediate the characteristic L-shaped molecular structure. tRNAs have two regions of fundamental functional importance: the anti-codon, which is responsible for specific mRNA codon recognition, and the 3' end, to which the tRNAs corresponding amino acid is attached (by aminoacyl-tRNA synthetases). tRNAs cope with the degeneracy of the genetic code in two manners: having more than one tRNA (with a specific anti-codon) for a particular amino acid; and 'wobble' base-pairing, i.e. permitting non-standard base-pairing at the 3rd anti-codon position. Lineage: Bacteria; Bacillati; Bacillota; Clostridia; Eubacteriales. The record is from RNAcentral.
GUGGGUAUCGGUUAAUGGUAAGCUUCGUGCCUUGGGAGCAUGAGAUGCAAGUUCGAUUCUUGCUACCCGCACCA